GGACCCGCAUCCCGCCCCUCCUAGAACGUCACAGGAGCCGCACCAAAAUCCUCAUGGAGUGAUUCCUUCCGAAUCAAAGCCUUUUGUAGCUAGUAAACCUAAACCUCACACCCCCAGUCUUCCAAGGCCUCCAGGCUGCCCUGCUCAGCAAGGUGGGAGUGCCCCCAUUGACCCUCCUCCAGUCCAUGAAUCUCCACACCCUCCCCUGCCUGCCACUGAGCCAGCUUCUCGGUUAUCCAGUGAGGAGGGCGAAGGCGAUGACAAAGAAGAGUCUGUUGAAAAACUGGACUGUCAUUAUUCAGGUCAUCAUCCUCAGCCAGCAUCUUUUUGCACAUUUGGGAGCCGGCAGAUUGGAAGAGGCUAUUACGUGUUUGACUCCAGGUGGAAUCGACUUCGCUGCGCCCUCAAUCUCAUGGUGGAGAAGCAUCUGAAUGCACAGCUAUGGAAGUGAGUGCCUGUUGUUCUUGGGAGAGGACCUGACUUUACACAGUGCUGCGUUGUCUUUUAUUUCCUGUGAGACUGAUGUUAUGAAGAUAUGCUUAUCUAAACGAAGCUGGCCUUUGGCCCUGAGAA
Molecule: small RNA, 573 nt
Filed under: Pongo abelii (Sumatran orangutan)
Lineage: Eukaryota; Metazoa; Chordata; Mammalia; Primates; Hominidae
Description: retained intron
Source: RNAcentral